This 323-nucleotide long non-coding RNA is filed under the name Manacus vitellinus (golden-collared manakin). RNAcentral describes it as "lncRNA (ENSMVIG00005016452.1)". The record is from RNAcentral. Lineage: Eukaryota; Metazoa; Chordata; Aves; Passeriformes; Pipridae.
CUGACAUUCCAUGGUGACUAAUUUUUGUUUUUUCCAUUUACUUCCCAGGAGAAAGAAUAUUAAAUACACAGUUCCACAGGAAAACUUGGAGACUGAUGUCUCUAACUCCUGUUUCUAUUUAUGGACUAAGAGGAUUUAAUGGACUAUAAGACCUUUCCGUGUGAGGAACCAAGCUGUGCUCCUGUAGAAUGUCAACUCCUUCAAUGAGCAGAGAAGCAAACGGAAGGCUGAUUAACUGGAAAUUGCCUCUUUUCAGAAAGAAAAGCAAAGGGUUUCCCUGGAAUAGUUGGAAGAAAGGAAGCAACAAACUGAAAAAAAAGUAA